AAGUCGUAACAAGGUAACCGUAGGUGAACCUGCGGUUGGAUCAUUACUGAUUAUUGGGUUUGAAAAAGGUUUGAUGCUCCUAGUUGAGCUCACCUUUUUUCCUACUCUUUUACACUUUGUGCAAUGAAAUGUUUUUUGGGUUUGACCUCUUGUCAAAGAGAGGAUGAACCCAGCAUUGAAUUCAAAACCACUGUUUUAAAUUGACUGAACUGUUUAUGAAUAGUAAACAAUAACAA
This 236-nucleotide unclassified non-coding RNA is filed under the name plant metagenome. RNAcentral's name for it is "partial contains small subunit ribosomal RNA and internal transcribed spacer 1". The stretch from base 1 to 46 matches the Rfam family "Eukaryotic small subunit ribosomal RNA", at positions 1786 to 1831 of the family's 1831-position model. The record is from RNAcentral.